Molecule: ribosomal RNA, 460 nt
Filed under: uncultured bacterium
Lineage: Bacteria
Description: partial 16S ribosomal RNA
Rfam family: Bacterial small subunit ribosomal RNA
Source: RNAcentral
CCUACGGGCGGCUGCAGUGAGGAAUAUUGCACAAUGGACGCAAGUCUGAACCAGCCAUGCCGCGUGCAGGAUGACGGCCCUAUGAGUUGUAAACUGCUCCUGUACGAAGGUAAACCCAGAUACGUGUAUCGGGUGGAAAGGACCGUACGAAUAAGGAUCGGCGAACUCCGUGCCAGCAGCCGCGGUAAGACGGAGGAGCCGAGGGUUAUCCGGAUUGAUUUGGUUUAAAGGGUGCGUAGGCGGUUUGACAAGUUAGAGGUGAAAUGUCGGGGCUCAACCCCGAAACUGCCUCUAAUACUGUUGGACUUGAGACUCGUUGCGGUAGGCGGAAUGUAUGGUGUAGCGGUGAAAUGCUUAGAGAUCAUACAGAACACCGGUUGCGAAGGCGGCUUACCAAACUAUGUCUGACGUUGAGGCACGAAAGCGUGGGUAGCAAACAGGAUUAGAUACCCUUGUAGUC